CUCAUUUUGCUUCUCGGCCUUUUGGUUAAGAUCAAGUGUACUGCGCAUGAUCCGAGAAGCGAUCAGCAGGCCGGAGGGCGCCAGGAGACUGUGCUAUUUACUUUGUUAAAAGUCAUUUCUGUUGUUUUGUUUCACUAUUGUUUUCUGUCCUGGGUAAGGUGGUGGACUACAGGUGCACAAGCACCUGUAGGGAAAUGGGAGGAUAAGUGGCAGCAUGGGCCCUCCAUUUGGAGUGGUUCCAAUUUUAACAAGAACGACGGUGUUGCUAUUUUAAUCAAGACCCCACAGGUGGUGGUGAAGGGGAGCACGGUGGUGGUAGGAUCGGGAACCAGUAUGUCCAGUGCGCGGGCUCGCUAUAGGUGAGCCCACAACGGUUUGGCGCAACGUGGCCCAUCCUGCUCUCCUGAAUCGGCAUCGGGACAUGUCCUGGAUGGUCGCCCACGAGAUCCUCCCGGUCAGGGUCGUUAUGCACUCACGGGGCAUGGCGAGGAUAUCCGCGUGCCCCCGACCAGGCUGCGGCCAAGAAGAGUCGGUGAGGCACAUGCUCUGGGAGUGCAGAGCCGCCAGGGACCUGUGGAAGGAAGCAGGCCCCCUGAUCACCUCGUGUCUGCCAGCAGGGGAGGACCUAACACCUCAGCUCGUGCUGUAUGGGGUGGGCCGAAGGCCCAUUCCAUCGAAGACCUUCACCAAGCUCUGGUCCACCCUCACGUGCCUGAAGUAAGCACUCUGGUCCUCCCGUAACCUGCUGGUAGCGAAAAACGUAGAGACCCCGUAACCUGCUGGUUGCGAAAAACGUAGAGACCCCCCAGGCAGUGGCCAUGGUAGCCACGGAAGCCCUGGGGUGGUACGGAAGAAAGGGGGCCUCGACCCCAAGCGAAGGGUCCCCCACAACACCCUAGGUCCCGGCGGCCACGGCCUGACAGCGCUGUGGCGCCUAGGGCGAUGCGCCUAGGGGAGGGAUCCCCCCUGGGCCCCGAAGGACGGGACGAUGAUCCAUUCAGAAGAGCAGGAUGAGGUGAGCUUGAUAAAGGCUCACCCCGCUCCUGUACAAGGGACUGAAGACAGCCUUUUAACAAAGUGGCUUUUAACAUGUUUUUCAUGUCCUAAAAAUGUUUUACCUUUGUUAGAUCAUUAGUACACAUUUUAAAUGGCUUUUACAGAUUUGAUGUUUUUACAAGGAAAGUACUUUUAUUCAUAGUUGUUUUCAUUGGUUUUAACAACAUGUACUUUUUAACAAAUUUAAAUGUAACUUUCAAAUGCUGUGUUUUAUGCUUUGUUGCCGUUUUUUUAUGUGUAUAAAUGAUGUAAAAAAUGU
Molecule: long non-coding RNA, 1315 nt
Organism: Oncorhynchus masou masou (cherry salmon)
Lineage: Eukaryota; Metazoa; Chordata; Actinopteri; Salmoniformes; Salmonidae
Exons: 3
Source: RefSeq, a predicted model, not a curated record